UCCUGCCUGAGCAGGCACGGCACGCGWCAUUCCUUUUCAGUUGUGCGGCAAGGCUUGUAUCGUCUUGAUCGAAUACGUGGGUUUUCUGUGUUGCAUACCUGAUCAAGGGCAUUGUUUUGAUCAAAAACGUUCCUUUUUCGUCAGGCGUUGCACUUGCAACGUCAGAUGAACCAUGUGGCAUCCUCUUUGAUCCAGAUAGUCGACGAGCAUUCGUUGAUUGUUUGGCCCGUUGAGGGUGGCUUGGUCUCUCGGAUAUGGAAGCCAAAGUAGGCAUGGGUUCGUAUGAUCCUUUUAUUGCCUUUGUUGAGCGUUCUCGCUUCUCUUACACGACCGCCUUUCAUGUAUGGCACGUCCCAGCGUGUUUGGCUACGUCGAAGAGGAAUGCUACCUGGUUGAUCCUGCCAG
This 405-nucleotide unclassified non-coding RNA is filed under the name Hinterhubera columbica. RNAcentral's name for it is "partial external transcribed spacer". Lineage: Eukaryota; Viridiplantae; Streptophyta; Magnoliopsida; Asterales; Asteraceae. The record is from RNAcentral.